UACGUAGGGGGCAAGCGUUGUCCGGAAUCAUUGGGCGUAAAGCGCGUGUAGGCGGCUCGAUAAGUCCGUUCUGAAAGUCCAGGGCUCAACCCUGGGAUGCGGAUGGAUACUGCCGAGCUCGAGUCCGGAAGAGGCGAGUGGAAUUCCUGGUGUAGCGGUGAAAUGCGCAGAUAUCAGGAGGAACACCAAUGGCGAAGGCAGCUCGCUGGGACGUGACUGACGCUGAGACGCGAAAGCGUGGGGAGCAAACAGG
Molecule: ribosomal RNA, 253 nt
Filed under: uncultured bacterium
Lineage: Bacteria
Description: partial 16S ribosomal RNA
Rfam family: Bacterial small subunit ribosomal RNA
Source: RNAcentral